CCUCGGCCGGGCCCGGAGCCGGUGGCGGCCACCGGGACCCUCCCCAGGUGCGGACGGAGGAUCGCCUUCCCCGCCCCGCCCUUCCCCGCCAAGGGAUGGGGAGCGGCCGAGGGGCAGGACACCCCCUCCAUUGUACGCCUGAGAUCAAUGGAAAAACUGAAGCACGUCAGGGAAAGAUAUGGCAGAAGGAUUCCCCCCACGGUAGGUCCCUGCCCCAGGCCCGUGAGCAGCAGUACAGGAGGGGGCAGGCACCCCACUCCUCCAGCACUCCUGCCUUCGACCCUGCUCCCCCCGAGGGCCGAGGGACUGCCCCCGGCACCACUGCUGGGCUCCGCUGGUGAUGCUCUGGCAGUUAUAACUCCAGCCUCAGCGCUCCCUGUGCACACCUAGAUCACUAGGGUGAGUAAAUAGCACUGUGCCAUACAUCAGAAAGCACGAAAUGUAACACAUUGCUGCUUCAGCUGCUGCUCUCAGUUUUAGCUCAGUCCUUUGCCCUCCUUUCUAUUCCAGAAAGGUUAUUUUACUUGGGCUUUUAAAGAAGGAUUCUUUUUUCCCCAAAAUAAAUCUUUCCUGACAAUUUUGACCUUUUACAGCACAAAAUAAUAAAAAAAAAACCCAACCAAAAACCAACCACAAACCUACGAUGAAUGUACCUUCCAAACCAAUAAAUGUUACAAAAUUAAAUUGUCAUAAGAACAGCAAGGUAGAAAUGAUUGCAGCCAUGAACAAAGAUAAAAGGCCUAUCCUUGCUGCAUUUGUUGUAGUUGAAAUGCAGAUCUGGAAGCCUCUUGUUUCACCUUACAUGGACUUAAGAGUAAAAUGUAAGACCAGUUUUUAUGGUGAAAUUCAGCAGCAACCGCCUUAUUCAGGCCCCAGAUACCAUCCCAAAUGCCCACUUUCAUCACUGGACCCAGGAAGAAAAGACCCAAAAGAAAGGUUACACUAGGACCUAUGACAGCAUCCCUGAAGAAGGGAAACAGACGGGUAUCUAAGCAGAAAGCGAGGUCCAAAUUGCCCUUGAGCAGCUGGGAACUGUAUUGCUGAACACCACAUCCCCCUUCUGCAAGGCUCUGAAUGCCCACAAAACAUACAGCUGCAGGCACUGUUAUCGCUAGUACAUCUUAGUCCAUAGAGAAAACAGUCAUCAUGAUCAAAACACAGCAACAACAAAAAAACAAGAAGAAAAAGUGCUCAAAUCAGCUUCUCAGGAAUUUUCUUGUGCCUCUGCAGGUAUUUCCAACAGACUCUUGUUUUGUGCAUUCUGCCACCAAAUGCCUAACAUUUAUCUAGCAAAUUCUUUCCCAUGAAAUCAUCCUGCUGUCCCCAUCCGUCUAUCCCUGAUCUUCAGCAUCCGUGCGUAUUUCAGACAACCCAGAUUAAUUGGCACAUCAGCACGAUUCCUUCCUCUGCUCCUGAACCACUCACUUGAGAUUUACAGCUUGUGAAGUCAGGCGGACACUUGGCUUAGGUCUCUGUCACGGCUAUUUUGGGUUCAGUGGCUAAAAUUUACCGAAGGGUAUCCACAAUUCAGCUGCCAAUUUUACUCUACAUCAAAAAGUGUUGCCUGGACUUUGUCCUGACAAUUGAUUGCAUCCGCAUAGUCCUACAAGGAGGGCCUUACUGAAUGUACUUUUUUUUUUUUUUUUUUUUUUGAGUGUAUGGCAUUCUCUUCCUCAGAAUGAGUCAUGCAACAGAAAAUUUGAUCUGUUCUGUCAUUAGAAGUUCCGUGGCAUUUUAUACAAGAGUAAGAUCACAUCACGGCAUCUCUGAAUUUUAGGAAAUUGCAUUAGAACUAGCUCAAUAUCAACUGUUUAACCAGAGGAGCUUGGUAAUCUCAUUUUUCUGAGUGCAUUUUGACCAUUCUGCAUUCUUUUUUGGAUCCUGGGAACAGACCAGCAAUAAACACAAUGGUUUCUCUGAACGGCUUGUCCUGCCAUGUGCUCUGCCUUACGUAGUUAUGCAUCAUGAGAAGGUAGAAUUUAAUCAAUCAACCCUGCAUCUUGCAUGCUAACUUAAAAGUAAAGCUUCAAAGAAAUGUUACUUAAUUUCACCUAAGACAGAUGGCAUGGGGUGGGUGGGGGAACUUCACUGCAGCAAACAGAGGCAAAAGGACUCCAGCCCACUGUGUUGUGGGGCCAUGCCCAGCUAGAAGACCAUCAUCCCUAAAGUUAACGGAGAAAGAAAAGCCAGACAACUUGACUUCAGGAGAUGGCAAGGUCUGGCGUGGGGCUUGGUGUUGUUGCACUUGUGCCCAUCGCCGAGACAGCGACAGCACAGGUAGGGCGAUGGUGACGAGAACCACCACCAUUCAUGGACCGUGGUGUCCCGGUGAGACCUGCCUCCCACCACACGUGCCCAACUCACGUGAGAGGAUGAAACAAUGCUGGUGGUGGCAGACCCAUCCCAGCAGGAAUGCGCAGCAGCAGCAGCAGGCAGCACAUCUGGCUGCCAUGGCUCCUUCUCUAAACACAAAAAUAGUUUGCAGUUUGUGCAGUUCACUUCAGCUCCAGCUCUCUCCUCCUCUAAUUGGUGUCACCAGAGACCAGUACUGCUUAAAAACAAAGUGGGGUUGUGUCAAUAUUGAUUAUCCCUCCCCCUCGCCCCCCAUCCAUUUCCAGUGGCAACUAAGAAUAAUUUUGAAUUCAUUACAGACACGGCCUUUCUUGCAGAAUAAGUGCCAUUGUCACAUUUAGAAUUCAGUCCAUAUCUGACUGGAAUAUCUGCAUUUAUUCAUAUGUAAUGAGAAGGAGGAGGUUUUCUUACCUCAGAAAAAGCUCAUCUACCAUCACAGAUAUAGAUUCUUUUAAAUUCUUUUAAUUUUAAAAUACUUGAACUCUGCUUGCGUCCAACAUUAGACUUGUUAUUUUGUACUCAUUUUGCACACUUGAAAGAUCAAACAUAUUUGUAUGCAAAUACUUUUGGCCUCCCUAAAUUUAGUAUGUAAUAAAUGGCUCAAAUUUCAUUACCAAAGCUGUAAGGGGAGGGGAAAAUUUAAAUUUGUAAAGAAGAGUAAGGGCUUUGCAGUUUGUAACUACAGUCCUUUAAAUGCAUGGAUGUCAAGGCAAGCGCCUGGUGGACAUAUCCUGUGCCGCAAUGAGAUGAAGUCUGCUCAGCACCAGCCUGACCCACACGCCUACCUGAAGGUUUGCUACCCAUUCUGUAGGGACAUUUCAAGAACAGAUUUAACUAAGAAUAAAACAAAACCCACAACCCAAACCCUGACUUCUACCCAAUACUUACAUGUUCAGGAUUUCAUUCUGCCUGCACGUGGAAAAAAAAUGAACUAGGAAGAGGAGCCUUCGGGCAAGAUGUGAACACUGCCUCUGGGACACACUCACACGUCCACCUUCACCAGGUGGCCAUACGGGCAGCCUCGUGCGUUCCCGUGCCGUGCCGGGGGCUCACUGGCCAUCCCGUGCCAUGGCAGAGCCAUGCAGGCACCUCGCCCUGCACUGCAGCCUGCCCGCAGGAGCCACCUGGCUGCCCAGCUGCUUGUGGCAAACUAAAAUUGGUGCUGGCUUGCCAUGGACAACCCCACAGCGGCUCAGCCUUCCCGCACCAGGGCUGGGUCACCUUGGCUCAGCCGUGCCUGCUUGCCAGUCCUGCCCCCGGGCUCUGUCACUCCUGGAAGCACCUCCUGUUUUCUCCGGUGACCCGGAGGUCUCGCUGUCCCUACCUCCCUACCCAAUGACCUACGCUGACUAUAGGACGCCUCAAUCUUGGGAUACCUGGGGUGCACCAGAGCGCGCAGACCCUCUGCUGGUGGCAGGUGACUGGGACCCACCGGCCCAGCUGGGGCAAGAGGAGGAGAGAAGCUGCUGGAAGGCACCUGGAAAAGCAGCAGAUGGAUCGACAAGGAGAGUUCACCGUUACGCUUGUUCCAGCACAGCCUCCAGUUUGAGUACCACAAACAGGAAUAGCAAAACACCAACAGAUUAAGGAAUAGAUGUCUUCUCAUAUAACCACCAAACUAUUUUUAUCUCCAGGCCUCUCCCACAUACGUACUCACAUAUUUUCUUCCAUGGAGUUUCAAGGCUUUUCACAAGCCUGUGACAUCUGCUUACCAACAUUUGGUGCAAAAAUAUCAAUAUCUGCUCUGCCUAGCUGUUCCGAGUGCUACAUUUACCAGCCAGUAAAGAUCAAGAGCCUCCUGGGAGCUGGCUGGAUCAAACUGUCAUGAUUUCAGCACUGCUUUGCGUCAGACGGCAGAAUUUAAAGUCAAAACACAGAUAGUUUAGGGAGGAAGACAAUGCGAAGCCCUGAGUCAUCCCCUGCUGAGGGUGAGAACAGAUUAAUAGACAGCAAACAUGAAUGAAACCAACGGCUCAUUUUAGUCAUGCGGCUGCUUCUGAAACCCAAAAAUAGGAUUUAUUUUUAAUCGUUGAGCAUGAAAAGAGGAUUUCUUUGCACCUUGCCAAGAAGAAGUUGAGAAAACAGUUUUAAUUAGCGUGGGGCAGGCUCCCCUUUCCUUGGCACCCAGCGGAGCUCAGCCGUGGGGCUCGCUGUGUUCAGGGAAGUUUUGCUGCUCACAAGCUGCUUUAAGGAUGAAAGAUCUUGCCCACAAGAUUUUGCACAACCCAGCAACUUUUAGCGUCAUCCGGAUGCAGAAGAUGAAGUCCGUACUUCAGCCCCAGCCAACUCUCCUUUGCCAAAGCUGAGUCAAAAGAAAUGAUGAUGGUUUAUAACAAGGUCGUACCUUUUCGAGGAGCUGCACCGCACCCCACUGCUGGCUCACGGGGGAAGGAGAAAAAGCGACAGUGGUUUGGCACUUGGAUAAACUGCACAGGUUCCCCCAAAAUCAUUGGAGAUUACUUAACCAAACCUCUGAGCCCUUCAGAGCAGCUGUGGCAACGAGCAGCAGAGAGCAAAACUGGUUUACCCCUGUUUUCCUGGGUGAGGUGCCGCCUCCCAUGUCAAGCUCCUUGGCUCGUGUGAGGGUCUGACCUGGGGUAUGGGCCACCUUGGUCAUCUGGGUCAGCCAACCUUCAGGGAUGUUUUCUUGUGAGAGAACACAAAGGUUUGACAUGGGAGUGAAAAAAGUUGGCACAACAGUGAUGCGUACACACAUUUCUGUGAUUUUUCAUUUAAAAUAAACAGAAACGAUCUCACA
Molecule: long non-coding RNA, 5110 nt
Organism: Falco peregrinus (peregrine falcon)
Lineage: Eukaryota; Metazoa; Chordata; Aves; Falconiformes; Falconidae
Exons: 2
Source: RefSeq, a predicted model, not a curated record